UGGGGAAUAUUGCACAAUGGGGAAGACCCUGAUGCAGCGACGCCGCGUGAAGGAUGAAGUAUUUCGGUAUGUAAACUUCUAUCAGCAGGGAAGAAAAUGACGGUACCUGAGUAAGAAGCCCCGGCUAACUACGUGCCAGCAGCCGCGGUAAUACGUAGGGGCGAAGCGUUAUCCGGAUUUACUGGGUGUAAAGGGAGCGUAGACGGAUCUGCAAGUCUGGAGUGAAAGCCCGGGGCUCAACCCGGCAGCGUUGGCAAUGAACUGUGGAUCUAGAGUGCCGGAGAGGUAAGCGGAAUUCCUAGUGUAGCGGUGAAAUGCGUAGAUAUUAGGAGGAACACCAGUGGCGAAGGCGGCUUACUGGACGGUAACUGACGUUGAGGCUCGAAAGCGUGGGGAGCAAACAGGAUUAGAUACCC
This 416-nucleotide ribosomal RNA is filed under the name uncultured bacterium. RNAcentral's name for it is "bacterial SSU rRNA". It matches the Rfam family "Bacterial small subunit ribosomal RNA", at positions 355 to 787 of the family's 1533-position model. The record is from RNAcentral.